Non-coding RNA from Mytilinidion resinicola, 89 nucleotides. Lineage: Eukaryota; Fungi; Ascomycota; Dothideomycetes; Mytilinidiales; Mytilinidiaceae. The record is from the annotation of a RefSeq genome assembly.
GCGCGGAUAGUUUAAUGGUAGAAUUCGGUCUUCCCAUCGUCGGCACGGCGUGUAUGGCCGAGGCCCGGGUUCGAUUCCCGGUCCGCGCA